Lactuca sativa (garden lettuce) is the source of this 399-nucleotide long non-coding RNA. RefSeq lists it as uncharacterized. Lineage: Eukaryota; Viridiplantae; Streptophyta; Magnoliopsida; Asterales; Asteraceae. The record is from RefSeq and is a predicted model, not a curated record.
UUUUUUAAUCAUUAGCCUUAUGCAGCUCUCAAAGCUAGAGAAUAUCUUGAUAAGCUUGCAAUACAUGAGACAAUGGUGAAGGUAUGUAGAUUAUAUCUUAUAUUUCCUACACAAAUAUAGACAACUGUAUGCUGAUGUCAUUAUGCAGGUUAGCGCUUAUCUGCUUGGAUAAUACAGCCAUCUUUUGGCCAGACGACCUGGGUGUAGCCCAAAGGACAUUUUUGUCAUUAUACAUGAGAAGCUUCCUACUGUAUCGACUCCAACAAUAUCCAUUCUUCUCUCAACAUACGCAAAGAUUUUGAUGCACUCUCAACCACCAGAUCCCGAAUUACAAAACCAGAUCUGGGCAAUAUUCAGCAAAUAUGAAACAUGCAUUGAUACUGAGAUACAACAAAGAGU